AUGCGCCGGGCAGCCGCCGCCGCCACCACCAGGAUCAGGAUCGGGAUGGCGGCGGAGGAGGUCAGGCAGGCGUCCGCGGCCGCCACGGCGGCCGAGGCCGCGUCCGCGUCGGUGCCGGCCCCCGCGGGCUCCCGGUGGGCGCGGGUCUGGCCCUCCGCGCUGCGCUGGAUCCCCACCUCCACGGAACGCAUCAUCGCCGCAGAGAAGCGACUCCUCUCCAUCCUCAAAACUGGGUAUGUCCAAGAACAAGUUAACAUUGGCUCUGCUCCACCUGGGUCAAAAGUAAAAUGGUUUAGAUCAUCAAGUGAUGAGCCAAGGUUCAUCAAUACAGUGACAUUUGAUAGCAAGGAGAAUGCUCCCACCCUUGUCAUGGUCCAUGGUUAUGGUGCGUCACAGGGGUUCUUCUUUAGAAACUUUGAUGCCCUUGCAAGCCGUUUCCGGGUGAUUGCCAUUGACCAGCUUGGUUGGGGUGGAUCAAGCAGACCUGACUUUGACUGUAGAAGUACUGAAGAAACCGAGGCUUGGUUCAUAGAUUCUUUUGAGGAAUGGCGCAAAGCAAAAAACCUCAGUAAUUUUAUAUUGCUUGGUCAUUCUUUCGGAGGAUAUGUUGCGGCAAAGUAUGCCUUACAGCAUCCUGAACAUGUUCAGCACUUGAUUUUGGUUGGUUCUGCUGGCUUUUCGUCAGAAACAGAUCAUAGUUCUGAGUGGUUAACCAAGUUCCGUGCAACGUGGAAAGGCAUGCUAGUAAACCAUCUUUGGGAGUCCAAUUUCACUCCUCAGAGAAUUGUGAGAGGAUUAGGUCCUUGGGGCCCAGAUUUAGUUCGGAGAUAUACCACUGCUAGGUUUGGCUCACAUUCAACAGGUGAAUUACUAACAGAAAACGAGUCCUCCUUGCUGACAGAUUACAUUUACCACACUUUAGCUGCCAAAGCUAGUGGAGAGCUGUGCUUAAAACAUAUUUUUUCCUUGGGGGCAUUUGCAAGGAAACCACUUCUGCACAGUGCAUCCGACUGGAAAGUGCCAACUACUUUCAUAUAUGGUCAUGACGAUUGGAUGAAUUACCAAGGGGCGCAGCAAGCACGCAAGGACAUGAAAGUUCCUUGCGAAAUCAUCAGUCCCACAGGUCAGUUUUCCUUUCUGGCAGUAUGUGUACAGCUAAAAGAUACUUCUACUGUAUUGACAACGUAUACCUUAACUGCUAUGCAGGGAGGACAUUUUGUGUUUAUAGAUAACCCUGUGGGUUUCCACUCGGCGAUCUUCUACGCGUGCCGGAAAUUUUUAUCUGGAGAUGCAGAGGAGGGUCUCUCUCUUCCUGAUGGCUUGAUAUCUGCAUGA
This 1335-nucleotide ribosomal RNA is filed under the name Triticum aestivum (bread wheat). RNAcentral describes it as "partial small subunit ribosomal RNA". Lineage: Eukaryota; Viridiplantae; Streptophyta; Magnoliopsida; Poales; Poaceae. The record is from RNAcentral.